RNAcentral lists this non-coding RNA (65 nucleotides) under Microbacterium sp. Lineage: Bacteria; Bacillati; Actinomycetota; Actinomycetes; Micrococcales; Microbacteriaceae. The record is from RNAcentral.
GACGGGGCCCCGGCCGGGCCCGCGGACGAGGGAGCAGUACCCGCACCAGACAAGACUGACUCGGA